RNAcentral lists this ribosomal RNA (207 nucleotides) under uncultured bacterium. RNAcentral describes it as "partial 16S ribosomal RNA". It matches the Rfam family "Bacterial small subunit ribosomal RNA", at positions 568 to 774 of the family's 1533-position model. The record is from RNAcentral.
CACGUAGGCGGUCAUUUAAGUCGGAUGUGAAAUCCCCGGGCUCAACCUGGGAACUGCAUACGAUACUGGGUGGCUAGAGUAUGGCAGAGGGGAGUGGAAUUCCAGGUGUAGCGGUGAAAUGCGUAGAUAUCUGGAGGAACAUCAGUGGCGAAGGCGACUCCCUGGGUUAAUACUGACGCUGAGGUGCGAAAGCGUGGGGAGCAAACA